Molecule: ribosomal RNA, 253 nt
Filed under: uncultured bacterium
Lineage: Bacteria
Description: partial 16S ribosomal RNA
Rfam family: Bacterial small subunit ribosomal RNA
Source: RNAcentral
UACGGAGGGGGCUAGCGUUGUUCGGAAUUACUGGGCGUAAAGCGCACGUAGGCGGAUCAGUCAGUCAGGGGUGAAAUCCCGGGGCUCAACCCCGGAACUGCCUUUGAUACUGCUGGUCUGGAGGUCGAGAGAGGUGAGUGGAAUUCCGAGUGUAGAGGUGAAAUUCGUAGAUAUUCGGAGGAACACCAGUGGCGAAGGCGGCUCACUGGCUCGAUUCUGACGCUGAGGUGCGAAAGCGUGGGGAGCAAACAGG